This 480-nucleotide ribosomal RNA is filed under the name Ancistogaster sp. AMEBU13956. RNAcentral's name for it is "partial 16S ribosomal RNA". It matches the Rfam family "Bacterial large subunit ribosomal RNA", at positions 1848 to 2587 of the family's 2925-position model. The record is from RNAcentral. Lineage: Eukaryota; Metazoa; Arthropoda; Insecta; Dermaptera; Forficulidae.
AAAAGUAAGACCUGCACCCUGAUGGAAAAUUAAAGAGCCGCAGUAUUUUGACUGUGCAAAGGUAGCAUAAUAAAUAGCCUUUUAAUUGGUGGCUGGAAUGAAAGGUUAAAUGGAACUUGGGCUGUCUUAGCAAAAUGAAUUGAAGUUAACUUUUUUGUUAAAAGGCAAAAAUAAUUUUAAAAGACGAGAAGACCCUAUAGAUUUUGAUUGAUUGAAUUUAGAUGUGAAUAUGAAUGUUUUAAAUGUCUAAAUUGAAUGGAUUUAAUUGGGGCGAUUAGGAAAGAAUCAAAGCUUUCCUUGACUGAAAAUAAAAAUAUUUAAACAAAGGAUCCAUUUCGAAUGAUUAAAAGAAAAAAAUACCUUAGGGAUAACAGCGUGAUUUUUUUUGAGAGUUCAAAUCGACAAAAAAGAUUGCGACCUCGAUGUUGGAUUAAGAGUAACUUUGGGAGCAGAAGCUCAAAGAUUUGGUCUGUUCGACCU